CAGUAGCCACGGUAAUACGAAGGGGGCUAGCGUUGUUCGGAAUCACUGGGCGUAAAGGGUGCGUAGGCGGAUUCUUAAGUCAGGGGUGAAAUCCCGAGGCUCAACCUCGGAACUGCCUUUGAUACUGGGGAUCUUGAGUCCGGAAGAGGUGAGUGGAACUGCGAGUGUAGAGGUGAAAUUCGUAGAUAUUCGCAAGAACACCGGUGGCGAAGGCGGCUCACUGGUCCGGAACUGACGCUGAGGCACGACAGCGUGGGGAGCAAACAGGAUUAGAUACCCGAGUAGUCCCUGUCUCUUAUAC
RNAcentral lists this ribosomal RNA (301 nucleotides) under uncultured bacterium. RNAcentral describes it as "partial 16S ribosomal RNA". It matches the Rfam family "Bacterial small subunit ribosomal RNA", at positions 509 to 807 of the family's 1533-position model. The record is from RNAcentral.